Passer domesticus (house sparrow) is the source of this 848-nucleotide long non-coding RNA. RefSeq lists it as uncharacterized. The transcript is spliced from 4 exons. The record is from RefSeq and is a predicted model, not a curated record. Lineage: Eukaryota; Metazoa; Chordata; Aves; Passeriformes; Passeridae.
GAGCUCCCUGGAAGCUCCGGGUGUUUGCCAUGGCAUGCCCAAUGACAAUAAAUCCUCAGAUGUGGACAGGGCUGGGAAGAGAAAAGAAACAUUUUUUUCUCCAUGCCCCUUGUUGAUAGAAUGAACGCCGUGGCUUUUUGGGAAGCAUCUGACAGAGGAUGAGGAGGCAGCAGAGUGGGAGGGUGUCCUCAAAUGCAAAGAGACGUCAAAGCUGCUGGUUUUAAAAGGAAGGAAAUGAUAAAAUCCUAGGUCUGCUCAAAAUCCUUCAUCUGGACUCCACCUGGGUGCUUAUUCCUCCUCACACAGAUCCAUGCAUGGUGAAUUGUAUAAACAACAAAAUCCUUCCUUGGGAGAGAUGGAAAUGUCAAAUUUGACAUGGCAUUAGCAAUCCCCUUAUCUGUGAUUACAUGGGAAAAAAGAAAUAAAUGGAUAUCUGAAUUUAUCCCAGCAGCUAGGUUGGUUCAUUAAUCUACAUCCUGAUGCAGGUACAUGUUUUACAACUGUCUAGAAAAGUGUCCUUGCUCAUAUUAACAAAUAAAUGAAAAAUUGUUGCUGAAAUAUAAAAGUACAUUAAGAAAAAUACUUUUUUUUUUGAUUGAAAGCAUUUAUCCGGAAAAAGUUACCUGAGAAUUCGAAUUCCAGAGAAAAUUGUGAUUUAAAUUCAGAAGACCAUCAAAUGAAUAAUUUUAACAGAUUCUCAGCUCUUCUUAAACAGAUGACUGUGUGUUUGCAACUGAAUGUUUGAUAAAUGAAAAGAGACGAAAUGUUCUACUUUUCAGCACAUUUUUCCCCACAGCUGGUGCACAGACUGAGACUCAGUGUAUGUUGCUUUAGCCGUGAUUUUUCAA